UACGUAGGUGGCGAGCGUUGUCCGGAAUCACUGGGCGUAAAGCGCGCGCAGGCGGCGAUCUACGUCUGGGGUGAAAGCCCGGAGCUCAACUCCGGGACUGCCUUGGAUACGGGAUCGCUUGAGGAUCGGAGAGGCAAGGGGAAUUCCACGUGUAGCGGUGAAAUGCGUAGAGAUGUGGAGGAACACCUGUGGCGAAGGCGCCUUGCUGGCCGAUUUCUGACGCUGAGGCGCGAAAGCGUGGGGAGCAAACAG
This 252-nucleotide ribosomal RNA is filed under the name uncultured prokaryote. RNAcentral describes it as "partial 16S ribosomal RNA". It matches the Rfam family "Bacterial small subunit ribosomal RNA", at positions 524 to 775 of the family's 1533-position model. The record is from RNAcentral.